RNA transcript from Aedes aegypti (yellow fever mosquito), 4365 nucleotides. It is a transcript of the gene named S-adenosylmethionine synthase, with no coding region annotated. The record is from RefSeq and is a predicted model, not a curated record. NCBI's taxonomy places the organism in Eukaryota, Metazoa, Arthropoda, Insecta, Diptera, Culicidae. The transcript is spliced from 9 exons.
UUCGGAACGUUCGAACAAGUAGUCUGAAGCUUCAGCUAACCUGUAGCUUUCCCACUGGAAGGAGUUCGUUUGCUGAAGGUUGUUAAGUGCUUUUUAUAAAAAUUGUUGGGAUUGUCGAGUGUUUGCAAUUUUUGCGAUCGAGUGGCCUUUAAGGGUUAGUGUGGAUAAAAACACUUGCAGAAAAUAAAAUUAACAGUGUAACAACAAUCGACGAAUCGCACUCUCUUCUCCCGCGCGUUCGGUUUUCAGAGAGAGAAGGGUGAGUAACUUUCCAUCUUCGAAUUCGAAUUCGAUCGCGAGUGGACAGACUCUCUCUUUGGCUAGCCGUCGAGAAUUUUCAUUUUGUUCAGUCUCUUUUCCACAAAGUUUUGCAAAGUAAAGACGGGCCCAAGUGAGGCUCCCGCGAGUGCUUUUCAAAUAAAAAAUUAGGAGAUUCAAGUCUGCCUACUUUGAUUGAAAUCAGUGCUUCAAGAAGAAUCGGUAAACAAGCCGUAACAAAAAAGUGACUGUCCAAAUUCGGUCUCCUGUGGAAGUGCUCGUGUGAAAAGAGGGAAUCGGCGAGGAAAUUCUGCUGCAGUUUUUAAUCGGAAGUGAAGUGAAAUCGCAAAAAAAAGACUCAAAAUGCCGCAGACCAAAGCAACCAAUGGAUUCGCCACCAAUGGCCACAAUGGCUACGAAAUGGAAGACGGGUGCUCCUUUUUGUUCACCUCGGAAUCAGUAGGCGAGGGACAUCCAGACAAGAUGUGCGAUCAGAUCAGUGACGCCAUCCUGGAUGCACAUCUGCAGCAGGAUCCGAACGCCAAAGUUGCCUGUGAGACCAUCUCUAAGACUGGAAUGAUUUUGCUGUGCGGAGAGAUCACCUCGAAGGCCGUCAUCGAUUACCAGAAAAUCGUUCGCGAAACCGUCAAGCACAUCGGUUAUGAUGAUUCCUCAAAAGGCUUCGAUUGGCGUACGUUGAAUUUGUUGGUCGCUAUUGAACAGCAAUCGCCGAACAUUGCUCAGGGUGUGCACAUUGAUCGCGACGAGGAUAAUGUCGGAGCUGGUGAUCAGGAUUCGAUUACAAAACCUGUAACGUGUUGCUCGCACUGGACCAACAAUCACCCAACAUUGCCGCCGGAGUGCAUGUGAACCGUGCUGAGGAGGAAGUCGGCGCCGGAGAUCAGGGUUUGAUGUUCGGUUAUGCCACCGACGAAACGGAAGAAUGCAUGCCACUGACCGUGGUGUUGGCCCACCGGCUGAACGAGCGUAUCGCCGAACUGCGUCGCAGCGGUGAGUUCUGGUGGGCUCGUCCGGAUUCCAAGACCCAGGUUACCGCCGAGUACGUGUUCGAAUCGGGUGCGUGCAUCCCCCAGCGGGUGCACACCAUCGUUGUUUCGCUGCAGCACUCGGACAAGAUCGGCCUGGAGGAACUUCGCAAGAACAUCAUGGACAAGGUCAUCAAGGAGGUCAUCCCGGCCAAGUACUUUGACUCGAACACCAUCGUGCACAUCAAUCCGUGUGGAUUGUUCAUCAUUGGUGGACCGCAGGGUGAUGCUGGUUUGACCGGUCGCAAGAUCAUCGUAGACACCUACGGAGGUUGGGGAGCCCACGGUGGUGGUGCCUUCUCCGGCAAGGACUUCACCAAGGUCGAUCGCUCGGCUGCGUACGCUGCUCGCUGGGUGGCCAAGUCGCUGGUGAAGGCCGGUAUCUGCCGGCGCUGUUUGGUGCAGGUUGCGUAUGCCAUCGGUCUCGCUGAACCGCUUUCGAUCACAGUAUUCGAUUAUGGAACUUCAAAGUAUAGCCAGAAGGAACUGCUGAACAUCGUUUCGAAGAACUUUGACCUUCGCCCGGGAAAAAUUGUCAAGGAUCUGAAACUGAGGACACCAUUCUACCAGCGUACUAGCACAUACGGCCACUUCGGACGCGAAGGCUUCCCAUGGGAGGAGCCCAAGGAGCUAGUGAUGAAUUGAUUGGCAGCUGGAGCCGUUGCUUACGGUGGUCGGAGCGAUUCGUUAGCCGCCACCACUACCGCAAGCAGUAGCGACGAGGCUACACCAGUAGUUUUAAAGAAAGCCAAGCUAGACGUUUAAGAGUAUAUUCGAGCAUGAAUAGGGUUUAUUUUUUUAAUCUGAAUUUUCAUCAGUUUUUUACGCGUGUAGGUGUCGUUUAAUAAGUUCCCGUGACAGUUGGGCGUAGAUUAGUUCAGCAGCCCUUUCCUGAGUCAAUAGCCGGAUUGUGUCAUAUUUAUGAGCGGAAAAUAGUUUGUAUUUUCAAAGUUUAUGUUUGUCUGUGUUGACAAUGUGAUUCCUGUACCAAUUUUUCGUACAUAACGGAAAGUAUCCUUCCAAUUUACACUUUAAUAAUACUACUUCAAGGUGAAACAAAUUGCCAGUCUUAAACAUUCGAAUCGUGUAGGAAAGCAAAAAGUUUAGGAAACGUGAUUAAUAGAGUUUAAAAAUUGUAAACGAAUUUCUUCGCUCUUGCCGCCUUUGUUAGUUGGUUAGCCCCAGUCUUACUUUACACAAAAGAAAAACCAUCGCAAAAAAUAUGUAACCAUCGCAACAAUGUCUCUACAAUUAGUUUGUACGCUUACUUACACGCAUACACUCUUUGAACAUUUGGUAAAACAACAAAAAGUGGUAUGUAAUACACAAAAUAAAAGUGACAUAGUGUUUACAGAAAACUACACAACAAGUACACAAAAAAUAUCAUAAAAAAGUAAAAAAAAAGUAGAAACAUGCUGCUUGAAGCGGUUAGAUAUAAAACGGAUCCGUGAUGCUUCGACAAAGCUAGACCAUUCGGUUGGCCACAGUAGGAACCCCAUCAAGUGCGCUUCCAGAGCAACAUCCCUUGGAAGUGCUGCCUGCUGCAAAAUUCGUUGUAUGACGUGAAAAAAAUCAGUUCAACUGUUUCAUAGCGACGUAUAUUUUUGACGAAUGGAAUUCUAGGGACAUGAGGUAAACAUGGAGAAGGUACGCAAUAGAUUCUACAUUGCCAUGUUGCAAACGUGAAUCGAGGAAAUCGGCAUGAAACUAAAAUAUAUAGAAUAUCAAACAGUUGCAAGUUAAAACUUCGUUGAAUCUGGAUUAUGCUCUUGUUUAUAGUACACACACAUUUGUUUCAUAGGAGUCAUCAGAAACAUCGAAAGCGUGUUUGUCCUCGACCGCAUUUAAGAAGGCAAUAUUUUAACGUUUAAGAAUCGAAUGGUGCUUUUUGAAAGUUAAGCUCACAGGGAUGGCUUAGUAGCUAUCCAUAGGACACAGCUUCUAAAAGGAUAACCAAAACUACAUCAAUCAACUGCCAGUUUUUGUUUUGAUUAGUUAAUACUGUAGUCACACAUUCGAUAGAACUAGAACACGCUGCUCUGACCGAACAAUAGUAUACACUAAAAGUCAUGGAAUCUCCUCUCAUUCUGUAGGUUGUUGUAUUUCUAAAAUUCAAAAUCCAUAAAUUUGAAUUCUAGGGCCACACAACCAGUCACAGAGUAAGACAUAUAGCAUUAUUAAAACAUUUUGCUCAAUUGGUAGCACACUUAAAGCAGUGACCAUUUCUCAACAGGAAUGUGCCACAUUUCUUUUCCAAAACCGGGCAGCCCCGAUGUCACCAACUUGUAUCCGUUGUACGUUCCUCCCAAGACGAACCUACAUCUGGAUGGCAAACCGGCCUUGGCAUCGUAUACCGCUGGGCAACGCCCACCUACACAAAAAUCUCAAUAAUCCACACGCAACGAAGUUUAUUUUUUUCACAUGUUCAUACACGUUUUGUGUUGUGUUUACGUAAAGGAAUUUAUUUGUGGAAAAGAGCCAUUUCGAAAACACUCCGGUCCGCUGAAUGGUUGAAGGGUGCUCGCAGUGCAGCAAAAAAAUCAGAAAAAUUACAUAAAAUAGUCCCUUACUUAAGGAUGUAACUGCCUCAGAUGUUAGUUUGCUUUGAGUUUUGCUAAAAUUUCACCAGUAGGAAGAACUAGAACGUAAUUGAAUUAUUCUCCUAAAAGCGUUUUAUUUGAACGGAAGUUUUGCCAAAACGAAAAAAUCUAACGUUGGAAUGCAUGUUACGUAAAGUACAUUUAACAAAAAGAAAUAUAUAACCCAAACCAGAAAACCAAAAAACGAAAAAAAUUGUACUGCGACACGCUUUGCGAGGGCUCGGAUUCGACCAAAAAUAGAGUUUGAAUAGUUUUUUAUUUGUCUUUAAAUGAAUAUUCCCUAAGGUACGAUUUACUUACUUACUGCUGAGAAGAAUGGAAAGCGAAGAAAUCUAAAACAAAUACUUCAAUAUCAAUCAGAACCAGAUUGAGUUUAAGGAACAAAAGCACGAUCAGAAAAUUUAAUAAAAAGCAGAAAAUAUGGAAAUAAAGUCCCACUACUUCUGGUAGAGUGAAACAAA